CCUUCAGGUGGUCUCAGUUUCCUUCUAUUGAAAUGUGCUCUCAGGAAAUGAUUAAGCUCAUUCUUAAAGGACUGAUAGAGAUUAAUUUAAGUGCCACGAGAGCAGAAAACUUGUCUGUUAUUUUCCCCAUUUAUCUAAUGCCAGUAAAGGGCAUGGCAACAAAGAAGGUAUUCAGUAGAUAUUUGCUGAAUAAAUUAAUGUUUAUGGUAGCUUAAUGUUGGGUUAAACCAAAGGAAUACAUUUCAGAUUGUGGAAUUUCUGGCGUCAGAAGAGCCAAGUUGGGAAUAUUUUUGGAAAUGGAAUGUCUUCAUUUGUGCUUCUGAAAUGUAACUAAUUCAGACUUCCUCUUCCCCUUAACUAUAACUAAGAGGUUAGUCCAUGGGGACAGUUUUGGCAUCUUGGGUGUCAGUGUAGGUGAUAGGAAAUGUUGGUAUACCAUGAAUUAGCAGAGGUAUGAAAAGCCAAGGCUUCCCUGGUAGCUCAGAUGGUAAAGACUUACAUACUUAAGAAAAGCCAGGGGAGGUGGGUUAUUUUGCGAGUCUGCUAUCUUUGUAGCUCCCAUAUCGCAAAGUUCUUUAACCCCUUAAUCACAGGAAUUGUUGUUUUUUUUUUACCCCAGGGUUUGAGUGGCCUUGACAGCCAAGCUUCUGAACUCCUGUUCUAGCUCUGCUCUUCCUGCCAGCAGUGGUUAUGAAGCUGCUCUCAGUUCCAGGUGCUGGAAGAAGCUUCCCUCUCCAGGCCAGUGCCCUGUAUCCUGUCAGCUCUCACUUUCUUUCACCAGUGCCUCUCGAGACUCUCUGUGCCAGGGAUUUGGGCUGCUUCUGGCCACGGAUGCUCCUGGGAGUGGCUGUGGCUGGUACAGGAAGGCUCUGAGAAUCCGUGUGGGGUUGCGGUGGCCCAGCCCAUCUGAGCUGAGGGACAGAGCCAGAGGAGUCUGUCAACUUGGGAAGGACAGAAGUACAAGUGCGUUUUAACAUCCUCAGUGGGGGUAAG
Long non-coding RNA from Bubalus bubalis (water buffalo), 993 nucleotides. RefSeq lists it as uncharacterized. Lineage: Eukaryota; Metazoa; Chordata; Mammalia; Artiodactyla; Bovidae. The transcript has 3 exons. The record is from RefSeq and is a predicted model, not a curated record.